AGUCGUAACAAGGUUUCCGUAGGUGAACCUGCGGAAGGAUCAUUACCUAGAGUUUGUGGACUUCGGUCUGCUACCUCUUACCCAUGUCUUUUGAGUACCUUCGUUUCCUCGGCGGGUCCGCCCGCCGGUUGGACAACAUUCAAACCCUUUGCAGUUGCAAUCAGCGUCUGAAAAAACUUAAUAGUUACAACUUUCAACAACGGAUCUCUUGGUUCUGGCAUCGAUGAAGAACGCAGCGAAAUGCGAUAAGUAGUGUGAAUUGCAGAAUUCAGUGAAUCAUCGAAUCUUUGAACGCACAUUGCGCCCCUUGGUAUUCCAUGGGGCAUGCCUGUUCGAGCGUCAUUUGUACCUUCAAGCUCUGCUUGGUGUUGGGUGUUUUGUCUCGCCUCCGCGCGCAGACUCGCCUUAAAACAAUUGGCAGCCGGCGUAUUGAUUUCGGAGCGCAGUACAUCUCGCGCUUUGCACUCAUAACGACGACGUCCAAAAGUACAUUUUUACACUCUUGACCUCGGAUCAGGUAGGGAUACCCGCUGAACUUAAGCAUAUCAAUAAGCGGAGGAA
Molecule: unclassified non-coding RNA, 561 nt
Filed under: Epicoccum italicum
Lineage: Eukaryota; Fungi; Ascomycota; Dothideomycetes; Pleosporales; Didymellaceae
Description: sequence contains 18S rRNA gene, ITS1, 5.8S rRNA gene, ITS2, 28S rRNA gene
Rfam family: 5.8S ribosomal RNA (bases 189-342)
Source: RNAcentral